This is a long non-coding RNA of Apis laboriosa (Himalayan honeybee), 988 nucleotides long. RefSeq lists it as uncharacterized. The transcript has 5 exons. Lineage: Eukaryota; Metazoa; Arthropoda; Insecta; Hymenoptera; Apidae. The record is from RefSeq and is a predicted model, not a curated record.
CGCCUCGUUACGAGGGGAUGAAGGGACUGUGUAUGGUUCUGGUUCAAUCAUGUUUCACGCAACGUCGCUGAUACAUACGAUCAACUGUCAAGUGGGGAAAGCGGUAAUACCUGAAAGACGGAAAUAGAUGUAAAUAGAAACAUAUUAUGUAUCUUCGUUUUGUCGUCGAAACAAUUAUAAUUACAUAUAAUAACCUAAAUCAAUGAUGUUAAUAAAAACAGAUUAAUUAAUAUUUGAGUUUAACGAAGCAAGUUCUUUGAGUCGCAUGCAUUUUAUCUAUAAAGGAUCGAUUAGAAUGUUAGUUUCCACGUUUUGAAGAAGAAAUCAUGAAACGAAACCUUAUCUUGAACCGAAGUGUCACGCUACAAAACAGAAACAUCGGAGGCGUUCCACGAUGUUUACCAUCGGAUGAAACGGCAAACGGACACCGAAUCGGCGUGGAAUCGAAUGAGAUAAAAGGCAAGUGGAAGUCGGAUGGGUGUUCCGUCCAGACGACAUCGCCCCGUCUUCGACUCGUUUCUUGUCACACACGGCCCGAGUAGCGUACGCUCGCGUGUGCGCGGCACACGGAUACACACGGCUGGAACAGCCGUGCAACACACACACGUACAGGAGUCGAGGAACGCAGAUCGCUAGAGGCGCUGUUCCGCUGACCUACUCUACGAUUAUCGCUCGGCUAUAGCCCGGUGCAGGGAGUUUAUUCAUUUAUCAACGCAAAUGGACGUGCCUCCGAUGUUUUAAACAACGUCUAAUUUCAUCUUGUAAUUGGUCAGACGCAACGAGGACGUAGUCAUUGAUUGAAUCUAAUCAAUGAUCGUUAGUGGUCGCGAGCAAUGGUCUUAUACACAGGCGGUAUAAGUAUUCCUUGAGAAAAAAUUUAUAAAAAUCUAUCAGGGAUCGAAUCAGGAAUUAAUUAGAAUGUUUUACUUACUAUCUAUCUACUCUACAUAACCGAACGUUCAAAAGUAUUAUAAAACGUAUAUAUAUA